This 735-nucleotide long non-coding RNA is filed under the name Mustela putorius furo (domestic ferret). RNAcentral describes it as "lncRNA (ENSMPUG00000026983.1)". Lineage: Eukaryota; Metazoa; Chordata; Mammalia; Carnivora; Mustelidae. The record is from RNAcentral.
CAGAUAUUUAUAUAUACACGAGUUAGUAUAGACGUAAAUAUUUCCUGGCUUGUCAACUAGGAGGGCUUAGAAUCAAUGACACUCAAGUGGAAAUGAACAUACCUACUGCUCAUAUCUUGUUUGCCCUUUAAAAAAUAAAAACCAUAGAUCCUUGGAGAAAUAUCGGAUUCUAGGACUGAAGAAGGAAAUAUACACAUACAAGAUGAGCCUGGAACAUCUCAAAAUACAAAACCAAACUCAACUAAUAUGAAGUGGCUGCACCAAUUUGAAUUCCCACCAGUAAUGCACGAGGUUCUUUUUCUCCACAUCCUCACCAACACUUGUUAUUUCUUGUCAUUUUGAUUUUAGCUAUUCUAACUGAUGUAUGACUAUGGUUUUGAAUCACUAAAUUGUACACCUGAAACUAAUGUAACACUGUGUGUCAGCUAUACUCAUAUUUAAAAAAAUACUAAAUUAAAUGCAAACAGGAAAGAAAAGAACAGCAUCAAGACACGUAUAAUGUAUAUACAUGGGAAUCCAUCUUGGUAGUUUAAUGUUGCUAUAAUUAUGUUUAGUCAGGAAAAGGUAUUAAGAAGCCGAGCAUCAUUAAGAAAAUAGUUCUCCGGAGACUACCUAUUUAAAGAAUAAAUCUUCCCCCCAAAGAAAAACAAUAAAAUCCCUAAGGGUACAAAGUUUGUUUGUUUAUGAACAAUUAUAUGUUAUUGUUUUUAAAAAAUUUUUUAAAUUUAUUUGACA